UUUCGAAUAUAAUUUAAAGUUGCACAUAUAUUUCAUUAAUUUGUAUGUGUUUUAUUCAUAUUAUUUAUACUAUAUUUAUUCGCGAGUGUAACAAUUUUGCGUUCUAUUUAUGAGUGUUGGUACAUUUCAUCCCUAUCAUGAAUGAAUAGGAAGCUGUUACUACAAAAAAGUGUCCAUCCACUGCAAAUAUUGCUCGAAUAUCGAGGGAAGAAAAAUGGAAAUUUUCGAGCGUGCGGCAACCAAAGUAAAAUCCAAGGAAAAAGGUUAAAAAGAACGCGAGAUUCGAACAAGAGGUUGGGAGAUAGUGAGUUGAAAGUCUUUCAUCCGCGAGCAGCUCGUUGUUUGAUGCAUCGAUUUCUGGUCGGAAGGAAGGGAGGCCCGAGAGAAAACUUUUUCCCCCUUUCGAGUGCACGGAUCUUUGGAUUAUUUACCGAUACAAAACGCACCUCUUUAUCCCGAGUGAAGAUUGUUUACGAUUGGAAGUUGUGAGCUCAAAGCGGAUACGGAUAAAUCUAGAGAAGAACUCUGAUCGGUGAAAUUCGAUCGAAAGAGAUUUUAAUUAAUUAAUUCUAAAUAAAUAAAAUUUUUCUCUAUUUAUCCUAUCUAUCAGUCUUCCCUUCGUUCGAAUAUUCUUUGCAAAAAAAAAAAAGAAAAGAAAAAUUUUUAUUUCAGAUUUUUCAUCUCUCUCUCUCUCUCUUUUUUAAAUCCUUAACACUUAAGAGAAUUAAAUUUAAAUUUAAUAAAAAUCUGAUCUAUAUACCUAACCUAAUAUCCUCUCCAUGGUUUUCUCUGAAAUUAUUAUUAUUAUA
This is a long non-coding RNA of Apis laboriosa (Himalayan honeybee), 809 nucleotides long. RefSeq lists it as uncharacterized. The transcript is spliced from 3 exons. NCBI's taxonomy places the organism in Eukaryota, Metazoa, Arthropoda, Insecta, Hymenoptera, Apidae. The record is from RefSeq and is a predicted model, not a curated record.